GCAAGUCGAGCGCACUCUUCGGAGUGAGCGGCGGAAGGGUUAGUAACGCGUUGGAAUUUACCCAGAUCUAAGGAAUAGCCUCGGGAAACUGAGAGUAAUACCUUAUACGCCCUUCGGGGGAAAGAUUUAUCGGAUUUGGAUUAGCCCGCGUUAGAUUAGAUAGUUGGUGGGGUAAUGGAGUACCAAGGCUACGAUCUAUAGCUGGUUUGAGAGGAUGAUC
This 220-nucleotide ribosomal RNA is filed under the name uncultured bacterium. RNAcentral's name for it is "partial 16S ribosomal RNA". It matches the Rfam family "Bacterial small subunit ribosomal RNA", at positions 57 to 305 of the family's 1533-position model. The record is from RNAcentral.